CCUCAAAGGAUUGUGAAUAGUAAAUAAAUAACAUACCUAAAUUACAUUAGCCUAGUGUUUGGAACAGAGUAUGUUUUCAGUACAUGUUAGGGUUUUUCUUUACCAUUAAUAGGUGACACAUGCUGGGCUCAGCCACCCGAAAAGGCCCCAUUUGGUUGGCAGGCCCCUAACACUGCUGUUUCUCCCCCAUCAGAUUGUUUCCUCAUGAUGCUCCUACCGUGAUCUGGAGACCACACUGGGGCUUAUGGCGCAAGUCCUUACCUUGUACUCAGAAGUGUAUUCCGCCCUUUAUUUCUUAAAUGUUUUUACCAGAUCAUACUUAGCGGCCCGACUUCCUCUUUGCCCCACCUGCACUCAUUAGACAUUGCUGGACACGCAGAACUGAAUCUCUGCAGGGAGCACAGCUUGGGUCAGGCUGGGAUGCUGAUGCUCUUUCCCUCUGCAAGAGGAGUAGGGCCUGUGGGGGCACAUCGCCAUCCCCACCCUCUUCCACCACCAGCUAAAUAGUAACUGUGCACCGGUUAGGUCAUUCAACAAGUGAUGGAUGCUGGACCCAGACCUGUCCUUGUGAUGUUCUCUUUGAGGAGGAACAGGAUGUACAGAAAGGAGUAAUUAGCAUUUAAGUUUGUGUUUAGAUAAGGGCUAGUGAAGAUGGACAGAGUAUGAUGGCUACAGAAGAUCUUCGCAGACUAGGAGUUGGCU
Bos taurus (domestic cattle) is the source of this 702-nucleotide long non-coding RNA. The record is from Ensembl. Lineage: Eukaryota; Metazoa; Chordata; Mammalia; Artiodactyla; Bovidae.